GGGGAUAUGACGAAGUGGUAUCGUGCGUCAUUUGCAACUCUAACCUACCUCUACGGGCUGGGUCAAAGGUCUCAGCUUGACGAAAUCCUGGGUUCGAUCCCCAGUGUCUCCA
Molecule: transfer RNA, 112 nt
Rfam family: tRNA
About the family: Transfer RNA (tRNA) molecules are approximately 80 nucleotides in length.